UAUAGCCCACAACUUUUCUUCAUUCCAUUCUCAUUCUAAGCUUUACAGACUCUUCUGUUUUCUGCUGUCCUUUUUUCUGUUAAGAGGAAAAAUGUCUUGCUGUGGUGGAAAGUGUGGGUGUGGAGAUAACUGUAGCUGUGGCGAUGGAUGUUCUGGGUGCAAGAUGUACCCAGAGAUAGUCGAGUCACAUAAGGAGACUAAGGCAACGACUUCUGAAAUGGGAAAAGUAGAGGAAGUAAGUGUUGCAGCUGAAGGGGGAGAUGCUCCAAGUGGGUGCAAGUGCAGCCCCUGCAACUGCGAUCCCUGCAACUGCUAAUCAUUAUAAGCAUACUAGUUAUUAUUAUUAUUAUUAUUAUUAUUAUUAAAUAUAGUAAUCCCUACUAAAGUUAUGUUAGAAUAAUGAGAUCCCUCUAAAUUAAGCAAUGGUGUGAGACUCUAAUUUAUGCACGUUGUUGCUCUUAAAACUUUAUACUCCACAUUUAUUUGUGUGUCGUCUUGUUAAAAACUAUUAUGAGCAACAUAUACUCAGUAAAUAUUUUCUCUAUUUUCUGCUUGCUGAGUAAUUUGGUUUUAAAUUUAAUAUUGGACAUAGUUUGUGUUCUUUAGAAGAUUGGAAUUUGAAGUAUUUAUAAUAUGGACUCUUAUCAUUAAAUUAAGUGUUCUUGGACAAUAUUUUUGUGAUUAUUUGAAAGGGGAUAAUAUUUUAUGAUAUUGAAAUGGACUUCAAUUUAUUUUUAUAAUCAUGGUAUCUUUCUUGUGUGGGGGGAAUGCAUGAAAGAUGGUGGUUGUUUCAUUAUAAAAAUGGGGGAAUGGAUGAAAGAUGGUGGUUAUUUCAGUAUGAAAAGGGAAAAAAUAAAAAGUAUAUGAACAAUGAUUAAUCAAUCUUUUUUUAAUUAUGGUCAUAAAAUUUGUCUACAUCAUAUUGUAUUUUUAUAAUGUUGAAAUGUUUUUUAUUAGGUAAAUUAAACAUAUAUUGUUUUCAAUAUUUUUGAAAUACUUUUUUAUUGGGAAAAGUGAUUGAUUUCAAAUGAAACAUAAGUUGCUACCCAUUGUAAAGUGUUUCCAAAAUUCUAUGUGAAUGAUAUGUUGCAAUUACCAAGUUUGAAGUAUACAUCAAUCAUAAGAUAAAAUGUGUGUUUUUGUCUAAUAUUAAGGUUAAAUAAUUAGGAAUAGGGAUGGAGCGAUAAAAGAUGGAUCUCUACAAUGUAGCAAAGAAAAUGUCAUAAGAUAGAGAAAAUGGUAAUUCCUCUUAGUAGCAAAUUAGGUGACUAUAUAUAUGGUGCAUUGCCUUAAUGAUGAAUGAGGUCAUAAUUUCUUAUUAAUGUAGUGUUGCAUUUCUUUUCUUUUUUCAAUCAAGUGUCAAUAUGUCAUAAAUUCAAAAAAGAUUCUUUUGUGGAAAUUUUGAAAUUACAAAUAUUUGAAAUCAAAUAAUAAAUACAUUUGUUGUCGGCUAUGGAGAUGUUUUCUUUGUUUUUGGUGCAUUGGUGUGUUCUUUUGAAGAUAACCUUAUGUGAUAUCAUAUUAUUUAUAAUUAUUGUUAUUAUAUUUUCAUUAUAAUAUUUUUAUUUAUUAUUAAUAUCAUUUUAUUAUUAUAUUAUCUUAUGCUAUUUUACUAUAAAAGGCAUGUAACAAACAUAAAAUCCAUGCAAUAGUCUCAUACAAUAUAUUGUAUCAACUUGAGAUAUAACAUACCCUUUUCCUUCCUUGAAGAUCAAAGUGCACAAAGAAGAAAGGGGAUUUCACCAUCUUUAAUUUUAAGACAAAAUAUUACUUCAAGGUGUGGAAUAUAAAGUGUAUUGGGCUAAUUGAAUAAGAUUUUAUGUUCCAUGGUCACUCUUGCUUCAGAUAGUAGUACAUAAGGAAGAGCUCCAUUUGGGGUUACUGAACAGAGUGAGGAUAAGGUAUUUGAAAAUAGAUACUUGAAUCCAUUCCUAGACCGUGAUCUAGAUGCUAAGGAUGAUGAAGACAAUAGCUAUGGGGGCUUCAUUGGCUAGGCAAUAUUAUAUCCCGUGCGUUCAUAUUGUGGGAUUUAAUAUCUCAAAAAUCCAAAGCUAUAUAUUGCAAAUAUAUUAAGGACGUAGGGGUUUUAUUAAUUCAACAUUAGAAUACAAAUAUUAAGAGGUAUUUUUUAUUUAUGCCAAAAGUAGGGGCUAGACACAGGUCUUCCAUAUGUGUCAUCAUUGGUGGAUAACGACAAAUAUAUUAAGGAUGUAGGGGUUUUAUAAAUUUAACAUCAGAAUACGAAUAUUAAGAGGUAUUUUUUAUUUAUGCCAAAAGUAGGAGCUGGACACAUGACUUCCAUAUGUGUCAUCAUUGGUGGAUAACAGGAGUCAAAAAUCUCUUACAACGAUCCCUCAACAUCAUUCAUUUGUUUGUGUUGUUUGGUGAUGUGGAUCCUACAUGCCUAUCAUGGCCGAGAAACCUCCUCCAUUAUUAAGUCAUUGGGACAUGUGCGAAGCAUCACCGACAUUUUGAGAACCAUCUUCGACAUGUGCUCUACGCAUGUGUACAUCCAUUUCAGCUUCCCUUUCUACAACUAAGUCACUUGCAACCUUCUCGUUGGGUCGUUAAGAAGUAGGGGCAAUAAGAGAGAACAAUUUCAACAUAGCCACAAAUUGGUGCCACAGAGGACAAGUUGGAUGCAAUAAAUGUUUAUUUGAAUUCAGAUAAUAUUCAUUUCAAGUCAAAUAGUGUUCAUUUAGAAGGCGGGAAGUGGUAAGCAGUGAAAUGGAAGGAAACAUCAUGAAAACCUACAACUUCAAGCCAUUAUCAAGAUUACAGUCAAAGAGGACCGAGGAACAAUACUUAUACAGGUAUUUAAAAAACUCUUAUCCCCUCCAUUGAACUAUUAUUCUCAUUCAUUUGUUUUAACUUAGUAAUGUCAAUCAUGGAAAGGAUUAUUCCAUUUGUCAAAAUAAUUAGUAAAGUAGGACGAAUAAUACAUGAAGAACCAUCAUUUGAUAUGUAACCAAGAUCUAUUGAAGACUAAUUACAAUUUAUAAUAUCUAACAAUACCAAUAGAAAACACUAGAAAAAAUACCCAUGAGAGAGUAUAAAGACCUCAAAUAGAGCAAAAAAAUUGUCACAACAACAUAAUAUAUUAAAAAACUAUAAGGAUUUUUAUUACAUAAGUACUGCCAUAAGGGUGCAACUCCCAUAUAUUAAAAACCAGAAAAUAAGUACAUAGAUAAUAAGAAGGGGGACACGAGGGGAUCAGUGAUAUAGAUAACCAAUCCCCUUUCCAAUCACUUUCAACCUUUAUAUAAUCUCUUCAAGGAACAGAUUGCCAUUAUCCCUCAUGAGGGCCUCAAACUCAUCCAAGUUGUAUUUCUUGCCUACCCCAACUUUGAAUAACUUCCAUGUUUUAGCAAUUUUCGUCUUUCUGCCUUCUGUAUUAAGAUUAAAAAAAACUAAGCAUGAUCUUUGAUUAUGGCACAAUCUCAAGGGUCUCCAGUGCAAUCUUGACACCUUCUGCAUUCUCCUCCUUCACUAUGCAAUGCACAAUACCAUAGGCGUUAAUGGAAUAUCCCAAAAUCUAGAUGAUGGGGGAGAACAAGUUCUCAUAAACAAUUCCAUCACAUGUACAUGCUCGUUAGCCCAAAAAAUAUGUCCCUAAAAUGUUUAUCACAAACAUCUUCUCCUCCUCAUUCCCUUUGUUGAAUAGAUAAGCAAUCUUCUCCUCUAGGGAUUCUCUGAGAUUGUUCGUGCAUACACACAGACACUUAACACCAAAGGAGUUUGCCAUUUUAUGUAUACAAACUUGAUGAAGGAAUCACUAAUUUAUAGCCUUCACAUCCUAACAAUGGAAACAAAUCUCAAAACAAAUCUCUUUGGGAUUUCUUUCUAAAAUGUGCGCCCAAAUAUUCAAUCUGAUGUUGUUUGUCUAGGAAGAUCUUUGACAUUUUGUUUGAAAGGAUAAUACCCUUUCAUCCAUCUACCAUCUGUUAUGUUUGAACCUACAUUUUGUACCUUUGACUGUAAAAAUAGACAUGAUCAGAGAAUUUGAUCAAUUACUUUUCAAUUUUGGCAGAAAAUCAACUCAUCGAGUUCAUAUCGAGCUCCAAUAUAAUCUUUUUUUAAUCCUUUCUAUGGCCUCAUAGAUGGCAGACUCUACUGCCAAAAUUGAGAUUUGAAAUCUUAUGGAAUGUAAUUUUUGUUCCAUGUGAAGCCAUAUCAUCCUUUCUAGGUAACCAAUGUUUAUUUACAUUUAUCCCAAACCAAAAGAUCUCGUAAAUAAUCCCUUGGUAACCCUAAUUGGAAUAGAAAGGAAAAUAAACAGUUCCUCGGGGCAACUGCCAAGGAAAAGAAACACCUUCAUUGACUCUUAAUUUCCCUAGUUCCAAAUUAACCCCUUCAUGUGUAAAUUUGACUUUCUUUUUUCAUUUACUUAUGGAUGCACUAGGAUGAACAUACUCAUCAUUUCAUAGCAAUAUCAUAACCAAACUUUUGAAAAUUUUAUUAUAAUUUUAUCCAUUAAUUAACCAACUGAUAGGUACAUAUGGAUUGAAAUGCAGAUGGAUCCAAUUGUGGAUAUAGAAUAUGUAAUUGUUACCAGUGAAGAAAAAUUUGUUGCUGGCAUAGUCAUUUAUCGAAAAGGUUGUACACUUGUUGACAUCCAUCAUGAAAUUGUGGAUGGUGAACUCAUUGAAUAUCCUUUCGAUUUUAUCAAUGGGCUUGGGCAUCCUUUAAAUAUAAAGCUGGAAUAAAAAUGGAAAGCUACAACAACACUUAUAGGCAUUAAGAGGAAACAUGACACAAUGGACGUUGAUACACUGGAGUCAAAUAUAUUGAAAAGUACUCCAAACCCUCAACACAAUAGAGAGUGUGUGGAGGAAGGUAUGCAUAAACAUCCAAGAGGUGGAGAUAGGUCUGAGUAAGUGGAACAAAGCAUAGUUGUUGAUCCAUAUGUAUUGGAAUCUUGGAAAUAGAAUGUGCACAGUUUAAUGGAAGAAUUUAUCGAUGAGAAGCUUACUCUCAAAGUAUAUUCAUAAAAGGGAGAACCUAAAAUAAAGAUCUAUUGUGAAAGUUGUGGAAUUCAUUAUAGAACAGGGGAAGUAUCCAUGGCAGCGUGAACAAUUUGUAACUUUAGAAAUAAUCGUAUGAAAAUAAUGUCCCAUCAACGUCACAUUUUAAUGGAGGGAAAUGGUGAAAAUCUUUAAAGUAGCACAAAAAAGUAGACAACAGUGGUUAGAGAUCGAUUUGAGAUCAAUCAAGCAAUUAAACUUCUAGAUGAUUUCAACAAGACACAAGAACCUAAUUUGUUCAAGGUGGUGGAAGCAACACUUGCAGGCUAUGAGGAUAAGAAAAAAGUAAGAGUGGAAUGUACAUGAUGCAAUAAAUGGUUUGUUUGGUGCCAACAAGUGGUAAUAUUAUCAGUUCUCUAAAUGAACACAUGAAAUCAAAGAAGCACACACUACUAUAGAUGAGGCUUCAUGUGAUACAAUUAUUUUAAAGAGUGACACAACCAAGAGACCCAAGAAGCCUACCAAUGAUAAGUCCCAACAAAGUUUGACUAGGUUCUUGGUCCCAUCAUCACCAUCUAUAUUACAUAGGGGUUCUAAAAGUGCAGAUCCUUCUACUUCAAGUGUGUUAACUACCCAAGUUUAAAUUUAUUUUAAAUAUGAUCUAUUGUAAUUUGUAAAUUAUUUGUGUUAUCAUCUUAUUAAAGGUCAUUCAUCUCCAUUGAUGUUGCAAUGUUGGGGGUAUUGGUAUUCCCAUAUUAAUAGGAAUGGGGAGAUAUUAGACACAAAUAUCCCAAUGGAUGAUCAAAGGGAUGGAAAAUUAUGGGCCAUAGAGAAGCAUACCAAGAUGAUGCUAUGUUAUGAGGGUAAUGAAUAUUGUAUUGAUGACAGAUAUAAGUAUAUUCAUUACAAGAGGGCUUCCAAGACAUGGAUCCCAUUUGAAUCAUUGACAUGCAUCUUUUGUAAUAUGAUUCUACAAUGUGAUGACUUAAGGAUGUGUUUAUAUCGUGAAUCAAGGUGUGUUGAUAAAAGACAUGGGAGGGAUACAGGGAGAGGGAGAUGACUUAGACUAUUUGACUCAAAAUGAACUUAAAAUAGUUGCUAAGGUUUCAAAUUAUAGGCAAAGAUCAACAAUGCGAAAUCUUUGGUGGGAAAAGACAAAGGUUGCUAUACUCUCUAUUAGAAUGAGAUCCCUAAAGGAGAAGUUGUUUGAAUCGAUAGAAAGGAAGGAUGUUUUUAAGGUUUUGCAAGGAUGUUUGUGAGGCACAUAAACAAGGAAAAUUACAAGGUAAAGAUGUAGUUUGGGAUUUUGUCAAGGAUAUCUUUCAUAACCUAAUGCAUCCAAAGGCAAGGAGAAGGUAUAAUACAUCCACUAAAUCCCUUUCUGAGAUGAUCAAGUUAUGGGGAGGUCCUAGAUUAUAUAGCUUUAUUUUGCUUGAAUCUAGAUGGUCCUUGAAUUUCUACAACUUUGAGACAAGUUAGAAAGUCAUUGGCAUACAUCCCAGGGGAGCACGACUAUAUUUUUGAGGCAAUAGGGAAUGUGCAUGCUUAUUAUAAAACCAAACAUGGUAUAUAUGACCCAAUUCCUGUGUACCUUGUUGAAGAUGAAAUUGUUGUGAAAAAGUAUGUUAGGUGGGUAGCAAAAAGUGAUAAAUUGGUGGGUUUUUGUGGUAAUAAAGAAGAACGUCAAUUUCAAUCAUAUUUCUUGGUGACAGUUGGUGAUGGAGUUGUAGGCUAUGAUACCAUAACAAAUUCUUUUAAGAACAAUGCUAUUAGCCAUUAUGCACGUGUUAUUAUUGCAAACCCUUCACAUGAAAAGCUUCCUCGUUUGGUUGUGGUUGCUCAUCCAACAUGAAAUAGAUUCAAUGCAAAUUUUGUUCGUCAACAAUGGAAAAAAAAUAUAAUUUUUUAAGGAGACAUGUGGAAAAUAAUUUGGGACCUAUUGUUGGUCAUUCCUUAGAUGGGGAUAGUAGAAAAAGACAACUUAUGUUAAUGGACUAUUGUUCAAUAGAAGGUAUUUGAUAUCAAAUUCCUUGGGAAUAGUGGAGACUAAGCGAGUUUUCCAAUGGUUGCAAUGUAAGAGGAUUGCAUGACCAGGAGUGAAUCCACAACGACAAAAAGCUAGUGAAACAUUUAUUUAGCGGUCAACAAGAUUUGAUUUUAGGAGAAGAGCUGAUAAGUUUUAAUCAUGUUAAGAUGGUUUAUAACACUUUUAAAGUGGAUGAUCACAAGAUUAAAAGUGAAGAUAUAGGGAGGAUAGAUCGACAAAAUUCGGGUUCGACACAAUGUAUUGCUUCAAGGCAUGUUCAGAGUUGUUUGAAAGAGAUGAGAAGUACAUCUAGUGGAAGGUUAGAGAGGAUACUAGACAUAGGGACAUAUCUAAUGAUUGUUGCUGACUACAUUAACAUUUUUAUGUCUUAGAGUUUGACUCUCUGGGAAAGAGUGAGAAAUGCUUCACAAGUUCAUCAUUUCUUCACGUUAUGGUUAUGUUGGCUACGAAAAGAAUCUAAUAAUAAUAACAAUAUAAAUUUCAUCAGAAAGAGGCAUAUCAAGAUGUGAAAAUUUCUUGCCACUUUGUAGUUCUGUUGUUGAGAUAGUUUCGAGAUCAAUACUUCACUUGCCAUGUGUUUUGCACCUAACUUGGUUAGAUGUACGUGAGAACUUCUUUAGCAAAGUUGGUGGGAUGGUUGGAGCUGAAAGGGCCUAUGAUUUCACUGACUUGGUUCACAUUGUGGGAACCCUUAAUAGAGUUUCAGAAGAAGAAUCAAAUCCCCAAGGGCUUCAUUUUAAUAAAUCUCAUAAGAAGCAAGAAAGUAUCUAGAAUGAAUUGCACCAAGAAAUGAUACAAAAUGUCAACAUAUUAUCAGAAUAUGAUUCAAUAUCUAUAGAUGAUAAAAUUAUAAAAUACCUCAAGAUAGGAUUGAAGGAUGCACAAGACAUAUUAUCAUCUCUUGGAAUGUGACUGGAGAAUCCGACACAAUAUUCUUGGUGGGUUAAACCAUGGACAAAGGGCCAAAAUUAUCCAACAUUACAAGUUGUGGAUGAAGUAGCCGAUGACUCUCCACCAACUCAUUCUAACUCUAUAUUCCAAUCAAAUUCUUCAGUGGCACACAAUCAUGGUGAAUUUCAAAUAAUGGAAAGUGAGUGGAGACAUGAGUUGGAUGAAAUUUUAGAUUCCAUAGAUGAAAAUGUAAAUAAAACUCUAAAACCAGUGGUAGAGCUUGAUGGUAAGGAUAUGUUCAAAGCUUGUUUGGUUAGUCAGUUGAAUGGAAAUCCAACAUUAUCCAAAGAUAGGUUAAAUAAAGUGAGGAAUGGGGUCUACUUUAGGUGAGAUGAGAGGGCCCCACAAAAGGGUGUUUCAAUUAGCUUUGGAAUUGGAUCAAAUUGUGGGGUGUUGUUUGAGAGCAAUUCAAUACCUCCCACUUAACGUACUACAAGAAAAGGUGUUUCUUGAAGUACAAGAUAAGGUGUUUCUUGUGGAACUUGGUACAUUAGAAGGGUUAAAAGAAUAUGGAGGAAGGAUGGUAAUAGGAUGUUUGAUUACCAUAAUGACAUUGACCCUUUGGAUAGGCCAGAAGGCAUUGAGCUUCAAUUAUGUUGGCACAAUAGAAUAAUUAAGGGAAACACAUGUACAAGCAUGAUUUGAUAGAUCUUGCUUUUGUGGGACUUGAUUCUAUCAUAGAAACAACCAAUUUAUCUAACAAUGCUAGGAAUGAUACAUACAAAUUAGAAGAAAGAGAUGACAAUUUUUUUUUUCAGAUUUUGUUAAAAUUUUGAACAAGGUGUAUUUUCAAAACAUUCUACUUUCUUCCUCAUGUAUUCCCAUAUGUUAGAUUGUCUAUUUUUUUUUUUUAUCAAAUCUAAUAUUGGUUUUAUAUUUUUUGUCUUCAGGUGCAAUGAAUAGUGUGGAUGGUGAAUAUUUAGGAUAACUCAACCAAUUUGUUGCUACUUACUUCUUGGUGUACAUGGCUUGACAAAAAGUCAUAUGUCAUUCAUGAUAUCAAUGGGGUUUUCAAAUCAAAUCUAAAGGUGAUAGAAGGUCAUCAAUCAAACAACUUGGCACUGUGGAAGGUGGACAACUCGCCCACAACUUGCAUUUCUCAAUACUAUUGUUGAUGUUUGCACUAAUGUUAAUGGUGCAACUCUAUAAAACUCUAUAAUUUAUAUUUGCAUGUAUUUAAAAUCAGGGCAAUGUCCUGUGUGAACU
This is an RNA transcript of Cryptomeria japonica (Japanese cedar), 9168 nucleotides long. It is a transcript of the gene named metallothionein-like protein 2A, with no coding region annotated. The record is from RefSeq and is a predicted model, not a curated record. The transcript is spliced from 5 exons. Lineage: Eukaryota; Viridiplantae; Streptophyta; Pinopsida; Cupressales; Cupressaceae.